AUUCAACGAAGUUAAACGGUAUCCUUUUGCUUUUUUCUUUAAAAGCAAAAGAUAUAGUGGACAGCAGGAUUAGCU
RNAcentral lists this small RNA (75 nucleotides) under Flavobacterium fluvii. RNAcentral's name for it is "Flavo-1 RNA". The record is from RNAcentral. Lineage: Bacteria; Pseudomonadati; Bacteroidota; Flavobacteriia; Flavobacteriales; Flavobacteriaceae.